This 428-nucleotide ribosomal RNA is filed under the name uncultured bacterium. RNAcentral describes it as "bacterial SSU rRNA". It matches the Rfam family "Bacterial small subunit ribosomal RNA", at positions 355 to 775 of the family's 1533-position model. The record is from RNAcentral.
UGGGGAAUAUUGGACAAUGGGCGGAAGCCUGAUCCAGCAAUGCCGCGUGUGUGAAGAAGGCCUGAGGGUUGUAAAGCACUUUCAGUGGGGAGAAAGAGGCCGUUGUUAAUAGCAAUGGCGGAUGAUGUUACCCACAGAAGAAGCACCGGCUAACUCUGUGCCAGCAGCCGCGGUAAUACAGAGGGUGCGAGCGUUAAUCGGAAUUACUGGGCGUAAAGGGUGCGUAGGUGGUUUUGUAAGUUAGAUGUGAAAUUCCUGGGCUUAACCUGGGGACUGCGUCUGAUACUGCGAAGCUAGAGUACUGUAGAGGGAAGUGGAAUUUCCGGUGUAGCAGUGAAAUGCGUAGAUAUCGGAAGGAACAUCAGUGGCGAAGGCGACUUCCUGGACAGAUACUGACACUGAGGCACGAAAGCGUGGGGAGCAAACAG